AUUGAACGCUGGCGGCAUGCUUUACACAUGCAAGUCGAACGGCAGCGCGGGCUUCGGCCUGGCGGCGAGUGGCGAACGGGUGAGUAAUGCAUCGGAACGUGCCCAGUAGUGGGGGAUAGCCCGGCGAAAGCCGGAUUAAUACCGCAUACGACCUGAGGGUGAAAGCGGGGGACCGAAAGGCCACGCGCUAUUUGCGCGGCCGAGGUGAGAUUGGCUGGCUGGUGGGGCAAAGGCUUACCAAGGCGACUAUCCGUAGCUGGUCUGCGAGGACGACCAGGCACACUGGGACUGGGGCACGGCCCAGGCUCCUACGGGAGGGAGCAGUGGGGAAUUUUGGACAAUGGGGGCAACCCUGAUCCAGCCAUGCCGCGUGCGGGAAGAAGGCCUUCGGGUUGGAAACCGCUUUUGUUCGGGAAGAAAUCCUCUGGGCUAAUACCCCGGGGGGAUGACGGUACCGGAAGAAUAAGCACCGGCUAACUACGUG
This 484-nucleotide ribosomal RNA is filed under the name uncultured bacterium. Its description in RNAcentral is "partial 16S ribosomal RNA". It matches the Rfam family "Bacterial small subunit ribosomal RNA", at positions 28 to 507 of the family's 1533-position model. The record is from RNAcentral.